UACGUAGGGGGCAAGCGUUGUCCGGAUUUAUUGGGCGUAAAGAGCGUGUAGGCGGCUAUACAGGUCCGUUGUGAAAACUCGAGGCUCAACCUCGAGACGCCGAUGGAAACCGUAUGGCUAGAGUCCGGAAGAGGAGAGCGGAAUUCCUGGUGUAGCGGUGAAAUGCGCAGAUAUCAGGAAGAACACCCGUGGCGAAGGCGGCUCUCUGGGACGGUACUGACGCUGAGACGCGAAAGCGUGGGUAGCAAACAGG
RNAcentral lists this ribosomal RNA (253 nucleotides) under uncultured bacterium. RNAcentral's name for it is "partial 16S ribosomal RNA". It matches the Rfam family "Bacterial small subunit ribosomal RNA", at positions 524 to 776 of the family's 1533-position model. The record is from RNAcentral.